RNAcentral lists this ribosomal RNA (1957 nucleotides) under human gut metagenome. RNAcentral's name for it is "bacterial LSU rRNA". It matches the Rfam family "Bacterial large subunit ribosomal RNA", at positions 829 to 2811 of the family's 2925-position model. The record is from RNAcentral.
CCAAUCGAACCCGGAGAUAGCUGGUUCUCCUCGAAAUAGCUUUAGGGCUAGCCUCGAUUUAGUCUUAUGGAGGUAGAGCACUGAAUUUCCGCGGGGGCGUCAAAGCUUACCAAAGAAUAUCAAACUCCGAAUGCCAUGUAGAUGAUGAUCGGGAGUCAGACUGCACGAGAUAAGUUGGGCAGUCAAAAGGGAAAGAGCCCAGACCACCGGCUAAGGUCCCAAAGUGCGUGUUAAGUGGAAAAGGAUGUGGGAAUUCGAAGACAACUAGGAUGUUGGCUCAGAAGCAGCCAUACAUUCAAAGAGUGCGUAACAGCUCACUAGUCGAGAGUUCCUGCGCCGAAAAUGUCCGGGGCUGAAACACGACACCGAAGCCGUGGACUCGCAAUGCGAGUGGUAGAGGAGCAUUCUUAAAACCGACGAAGCUGUACCGAAAGGAGCAGUGGAGGGAUAAGAAGAGAGAAUGCCGGAAUGAGUAGCGAGAGAAAGGUGGGAAUCCUUUCGGCCGAAUAUCUAAGGUUUCCAGAGUAAAGCUGAUCUGCUCUGGGUAAGUCGGGGCCUAAGCACAGGUCGCAAGACGUAAGCGAUGGAUAACAGGUUUAGAUUCCUGUACCACGCAUUAUCAGAACUGUAGGGACGCAUGUGGAAAGCACGGGCCGGGAAUGGAAAGACCGGUACAAGCGGGGUAGGUGUACAAUAGGCAAAUCCGUUGUAUAAUCCGAAGACGUGAUGUGGAGCGAAAUAAAGUAGUGAAGCGUGUGAGCCAUGUGCCGAGAAAAGCUGCUAUUGUGUAAUGCGUGCCCGUACCGUAAACCGACACAGGUGGAUGAGGAGAGAAUCCUAAGGCCGGCGGAAGAAGCAUUGUUAAGGAAUUCGGCAAAAUGACCCCGUAACUUCGGGAGAAGGGGUGCCUGCGAGAGCAGGCCGCAGAGAAUAGGCUCAAGCAACUGUUUAGCAAAAACACAGGUCUAUGCGAAACCGAAAGGUGAGGUAUAUGGGCUGACGCCUGCCCGGUGCUGGAAGGUUAAGAGGAGAGGUUAGCGCAAGCGAAGCUUUGAAUUUAAGCCCCAGUAAACGGCGGCCGUAACUAUAACGGUCCUAAGGUAGCGAAAUUCCUUGUCGGGUAAGUUCCGACCCGCACGAAAGGCGUAAUGAUUUGAGCGCUGUCUCGACAAUGCAUCCGGUGAAAUUGAAGUACCAGUGAAGAUGCUGGUUACCCGCGCCAGGACGGAAAGACCCCAUGGAGCUUUACUCCAGUUUGAUACUGGGAUUCGGUACUGCAUGUACAGGAUAGGUGGGAGACAAAGAAGGAUGGACGCCAGUCUGUCCGGAGUCGCUGUUGGGAUACCACCCCUGUAGUACUGGGUUUCUAACCAGUUGCCAUGAACUGGCAAUGGGACAAUGUCAGGCGGGGAGUUUGACUGGGGCGGUCGCCUCCGAAAGGGUAUCGGAGGCGCUCAAAGGUUCCCUCAGAAUGGUCGGAAACCAUUCGAAGAGUGCAAAGGCAGAAGGGAGCUUGACUGCGACACCGACGGGUGGAGCAGGUACGAAAGUAGGACUUAGUGAUCCGGUGGUAUGAAAGUGGGAUUGCCAUCGCUCAACGGAUAAAAGCUACCCUGGGGAUAACAGGCUUAUCACUCCCAAGAGUUCACAUCGACGGAGUGGUUUGGCACCUCGAUGUCGGCUCAUCGCAUCCUGGAGCUGGAGCAGGUUCCAAGGGUUGGGCUGUUCGCCCAUUAAAGCGGUACGCGAGCUGGGUUCAGAACGUCGUGAGACAGUUCGGUCCCUAUCCGGCGUGGGCGUAGGAUAUUUGAGAGGAGCUGUCCUUAGUACGAGAGGACCGGGAUGGACUGACCUCUGGUGUACCGGUUGAACCGCCAGGUUCACGGCCGGGUAGCCAAGUCGGGAAGGGAUAAACGCUGAAGGCAUCUAAGCGUGAAGCCCCCCUCAAGAUGAGAUA